AGGUAAAUGUGACGAUUACCGUGAUGUCAUGAUGCUGUGUUACCAUAGUAACCGUGAUGUAUAACAGUAGUGUGUCAGAUGCGUGAUGUUGUAGUGUUAGACACAGGAACACACUCUACAAAAGCCGGUUUCAGCGGUGAGAGUGUUCCCCGCCUUAUCACGCCUACUGUAGUAGGACAUGAUUACACAGGAGACUCGGUAAGGUAUGUGGGGAGCGAAGCGUUGAAGAGAAGGAGCAAGGUAAAGAUAGUACAACCAGUCAGAAGAGGCAGAAUACACAACUGGGACGACAUUGAGCAGGUGUGGCAACAUACACUAGAGGUGGAGUUAAGUGUAGAUCCUGAGCUACACCCAGUCCUCCUUACUGAGUCUACUCAGGAACCGGUUAGGCACAGGGAGAGGAAGACUGAGAUCUUCUUCGAGACCCUGAGAGUUCCUCAGUUCUCCCUAGCAACCCAGUCUGUCCUGGCAUUGCAUGCGGAGGGGUGCACGUCGGGUGUUGUGGUGGAUAUUGGAGCUGGACAUGCUGCCGUGGUUCCUGUGCUGGAGGGUAAGCUGAUUCCGUACGCUCUCGAGCCGAUGUCAAGAAGUGGAGAGGAUCUGACUAAACGACUUUUAGUCUCUCUGAAACAGUAUGGAUUUAGAAACGAUCUCCACACCCACUGGGAUAUUGCUAAUCACAUUAAAGAGACGAUGAGUUGUUUAGAUCCGCCCUGCUCCGGACACUACACCCUGCCUGACCUGUCAGAGAUCACCCUGUCCCCCUCCCAACGGUCCCUCCCCGGCACCCUGCUGGAGGGUCCUGGUUACCAUGGUAACACCCUGAUGGAGGGUCCUGACUCAGUGCAAUCCUCCUUCUCAUCCGCUAUAUCCCGGCUUGACCAGGAUAUGAGCGCCAUGUUGUGCCGCCAUGUGGUGCUAGCGGGCGGAACUACAGACUGUCCCGGCUUCAGAGCGCACUUGUUACGGAGUCUGGAGGCGGCCGGCGCCAUGGUAACAAUGACUCAGGGGGCAGGGAGCAGAGCAAGUAGUGGGAGGUACAAAUCCUGGGUUGGAGGGUCCGUGCUCGCCUCCCUCUCUACCUUCUCUAGAAUGAGUGUGUUGAGAAUACGAGCCGGAGUCCUCCUGCAGCUACACGCUCCUCAACGGAGGCGACGAGAGGAAACGAGGGAACCAACGGCGGCUACACCACCACCACCCCAGUAGGGGAUAAGAAGAUAAAAACCAACAAGAUGGAAGAUACGACCUCUACCUCCUGGGUCACCGGACCCUCUACUUCAGAGAACGGGGUGGUUCCCGGGGUAACCAGCUCACCUAACUACAACCAACAAGUCAACAGACCUUACUGCAUCAUCAACGGACAGUUCUAUUACGCAGGUCCACAGAAGAUCUACUUUGGUUGUUUCUUCGUGUGCGAGUGUUUGGGAUACGGAGAGUUCGCUUGCUCGCCUCUCUGCAAGCCGGUAAGAACAUUUUCAGGAAAAGUGUGAUCAAAAGUGAUUUAAGUAAUUUUAUGAUUCCUCUCUCGAAUUCCGAGUUCAUUAGAAUUGAUUGAUUGUCCUCAAUAACAGCCCCCAACCUCAAUUCUGGUGUUCCUUUUACCUAACAUUCCCCUAAGCGCUCAUUUCAGGAGAAUAAGCCGUGUCCCAGUAACAGGUGGAUGAAGGAAAGGAGGGGGUGUUGCGACGAGUACAUCUGCCUGGGAUGAGAGGGUUUCCUGUUACGGUGACGUCACUCAUGAUAACACUUCCUGUUACAGUGACGUCACUCAUGAGAGCACUUCCUGUUACGGUGAUGUCACUGAUUAGCUGCAAAAACCCUGCAGAGAAAGAGCAGACAAAUAUGUUCAUGGGAUGAGCGCAAACAAUGACUUGGUGUCGUUUAAAUCAGUUGUAACUGUUGGAUGGCUGAUAAUCCCCAGUUCAAACAAGGACUUCAGGCACUGAGGGGCUAAGUGUGAGACACUAAUUCAACACUGACUCCGAGUUGUUUAAUUUAAUAAGUUUAUUUUUGUAGUAAUUUAAUGAUUCAUAGGUUUUUCAUAUGAUCAAAUGUUUUGUUUUUAUACGAAUAGUGGUGCGGUUGAUGAGCUAGCAAAUUUGUUUCUGCAUCAGAUGAUUUAAUAACGAUG
Molecule: RNA transcript, 2131 nt
Organism: Bolinopsis microptera
Lineage: Eukaryota; Metazoa; Ctenophora; Tentaculata; Lobata; Bolinopsidae
Exons: 7
Source: RefSeq, a predicted model, not a curated record